CACAAGUCCAUGAGCUCCCGUGAUCCAUUGCUAGUGACACAGCGAUGACACGGAAACAUCUGAAGGCAGGGCCCCAACUCCCACUCUUCUUGGGACACUUUUCUCCUGGAGGCACCCUGGUGCUUUGCCAGCACCAUCUUGCCACUGCCCUGAGGAACGGAUGCUAGUACAAUGACACCAGGUUCCCUGCCCCCAUGGGGGACAAGCCUCCUUUCAGCCGUAAGUGGCACCUGCCACCAGAGGAUUUCCACACGGGAAUGGCCCCAACACACCCAGGGACUCACAGUUACUCCAGAGAUAACUGAUCAUGGGGGGCUAUAGACCGCUAUCUCAUAUCCAAUGUGGCAAGAUGGAGCUGGCAGCUUGGGAAGAAGUUGUCCCAGGAACCCGGAUGUUGUACUGAUGUGGCAACCUCAACAGUAUGAGCAGCACUCUCCAUUUCCUUUGGGAGAUACAAUCCAAUCUUUGAAGGGACUGUUGUCUGUCACUGCAAAUGAUUGUAAGGAACGGAACUCCCUUGAUGGUAAGUUUUACUCACAGAAGAGGGAUCUAGUUGGGAUAUAACUGGACAGGUGCUGGACUUAGAGUCAGAAGACCCUGGUUCGAAUCCCAUCUCUUCCAUUUACUCAUAGAGUUAUUGGCUGGGUUUCUUCAGUCCUCUGAUUAGCAGGUGGAAUUAACGUACUUCAGGGCAUAGUAAGACCAUCAUCGGUCUGUAGACCCCCAUCUCAGGACCACCCCAUGGUUCACAUCGGAGGGCAUGUCUGGAUGAAGAACCACAUCUUCUGGAUAAGCUCUAUUUCCAUUUGCCGCCAUCUGCUGACCACCUCCUAUUUUUUCAACCUA
Molecule: long non-coding RNA, 846 nt
Organism: Lutra lutra (Eurasian river otter)
Lineage: Eukaryota; Metazoa; Chordata; Mammalia; Carnivora; Mustelidae
Exons: 3
Source: RefSeq, a predicted model, not a curated record